UACGAAGGGGGCUAGCGUUGUUCGGAAUUACUGGGCGUAAAGCGCGCGCAGGCGGUUUUCCAAGUCAGUGGUGAAAGCCCGGAGCUCAACUCCGGAAAUGCCAUUGAAACUGUAAAACUUGAGGACGAGAGAGGUGAGUGGAAUUCCCAGUGUAGAGGUGAAAUUCGUAGAUAUUGGGAAGAACACCGGUGGCGAAGGCGGCUCACUGGACCGAGACUGACGCUGAGGCGCGAAAGCGUGGGGAGCAAACAGG
Molecule: ribosomal RNA, 253 nt
Filed under: uncultured bacterium
Lineage: Bacteria
Description: partial 16S ribosomal RNA
Rfam family: Bacterial small subunit ribosomal RNA
Source: RNAcentral